UACGUAGGGUGCGAGCGUUAAUCGGAAUUACUGGGCGUAAAGCGCGCGUAGGCGGUUUUGUAAGUCGGGUGUGAAAGCCCCGGGCUCAACCUGGGAACUGCAUUCGAGACUGCAUAACUGGAGUAUUGGAGAGGGCAGUGGAAUUUCCGGUGUAGCGGUGAAAUGCGUAGAUAUCGGAAGGAACAUCAGUGGCGAAAGCGACUGCCUGGCCAAAUACUGACGCUCAUGUGCGAAAGCGUGGGGAGCAAACAGG
This 253-nucleotide ribosomal RNA is filed under the name uncultured bacterium. RNAcentral describes it as "partial 16S ribosomal RNA". It matches the Rfam family "Bacterial small subunit ribosomal RNA", at positions 524 to 776 of the family's 1533-position model. The record is from RNAcentral.